GAUGAACGCUGGCGGCGUGCUUAACACAUGCAAGUCGAACGAUGAAGCCCAGCUUGCUGGGUGGAUUAGUGGCGAACGGGUGAGUAACACGUGAGUAACCUGCCCUUGACUCUGGGAUAAGCCUGGGAAACUGGGUCUAAUACUGGAUAUGACUUCUCAUCGCAUGGUGGGGGGUGGAAAGAUUUAUUGGUCUUGGAAGGACUCGCGGCCUAUCAGCUUGUUGGUGAGGUAAUGGCUCACCAAGGCGACGACGGGUAGCCGGCCUGAGAGGGUGACCGGCCACACUGGGACUGAGACACGGCCCAGACUCCUACGGGAGGCAGCAGUGGGGAAUAUUGCACAAUGGGCGCAAGCCUGAUGCAGCGACGCCGCGUGAGGGAUGACGGCCUUCGGGUUGUAAACCUCUUUCAGUAGGGAAGAAGCGAGAGUGACGGUACCUGCAGAAGAAGCGCCGGCUAACUACGUG
This 466-nucleotide ribosomal RNA is filed under the name uncultured bacterium. RNAcentral describes it as "partial 16S ribosomal RNA". It matches the Rfam family "Bacterial small subunit ribosomal RNA", at positions 28 to 507 of the family's 1533-position model. The record is from RNAcentral.